Molecule: long non-coding RNA, 4725 nt
Organism: Bos taurus (domestic cattle)
Lineage: Eukaryota; Metazoa; Chordata; Mammalia; Artiodactyla; Bovidae
Source: Ensembl
UUUCCCUGAGGACGCUGCAGGCAGUGUCAGAACUACGACUCCCAGGGGCCUCUGCGGCUUGGUGGCUCCUCCCCCCGCUGCCUGGAGCUCCAACAGGAGCCCAACGAACCCAACGGCGCCCGGGGGUCUCGCGCGGUCGGUUAAGCGGCUCUGCGAUCAGUAGAGGCCGGGCUGCAGUCCCUUACGCAUCCUCGGGACCAGGAAAGGGAGCGAUGAAGGCGCCGGCGCCCAGCCGCUCUGGCCUUCCGCCCGCGGCUCCAGCUCAGGGCCCCCGACCACUUCGGGCCACCUGGAGACCUGGCCGUCGGGAGUAUUAAAAGCGCCCCGGCCUCUCGGGAAGUGCGACCAAAGCCGACAGCGACUGGUGUCGAGGAAGAAGGGGGUCGUUUCAGGCUGUGACAUGGAAGCAGUUUUCUCGAGGAGGAAAGACGAGUUUUACAGACCGUUUGGUGACCGCGCCUCAGCUCUGCCCAGCGUUCACUCUACAAUUGCAGUGAGCACCUGUUAUGUGCAGCGAUCACAGAGAUGAGACCGACCAGAGCCUUACUGUCGAGGAACUGGACAAACAAGAACCCACAGAGGCCCCAGGCUGCUAAAAUACAUCCCAGAGGUCGACAAUCCAGGAGGUGCUUAGCAAAGGACAAGCCAGAGACACGCGGAGCUCAUCAGCUUCCCGGACCAGCUCCCUGGCAGUUGGAAGGCUGGGCAGACUCCCACGCGGUCCAGUCCCCACGCGCCCCCUGCCUUCCCUGGGCCCUAGAGCAGGGAGCUCACAGCGCAGAGGAUGAGACGGCGGUCUGUUGUCCCAGCGCGUGGCAGGGCCACGCAGCUCUGUUAUCUCAGUUUCUGAGGGUCGGGGAUCCAGCCAAGACCGGCUGGGGCUUCUGCCUCGAGGUCUUGCGAGGCUGUACCCGGGUGUCGGCGGGGACUGUGGCCCGUGCACAGGCUCCACCUGGAGGGUCCAGGCUCACUCACGUUGGCGGGAUUCGGCUCCUCACGAGCUACUAGGGGAACGUCAUCCUUUUCUCCAUGUUGCCGGAGGGCUCAAUCCGUUGGCCACGUGGGCCUCUUCAGAGCGCACCUCCCCGGGGGGACAGGCCCCCCGUGACCCCCGUCUGCAAUGGCAGCUUGUCCCUCUGUGCUGUUAGAUUCUGCUCACCCUGGGGGGCCUCGCAGGGUGCUCAUUCAGUGGGGGCCCCUGGGGGCCAAACCCCCGCCCCACUCUGUGCUCUUCCUACCAUCCCCCAGGCCUGGGUCUCCAGAGAUGGUCAUACUGUGUCCAGUGUGACAAUUGUGUGUUUUUCUCUCGUUUUAGAAACUGUAGCCUGGGCUGUCGCACCCUGAGAUAGAUGUACCCAGAGAGUUGUAGGGUGCGCUGUGGACACUGUUCUGUCCAUGCCGCCCCUGCGUCAGCCCUCCCCGGGCCUCUGCUUACUAGGUUUUCCCGCCUCCUCCGGGAGACAGAGCCGCUUUCCUUAAGCUCAGGAGCUGUUUGCAUUUUUAUCAGAGCAGGAUCAGGCCCCCAGUCUCCGCGGAGUGGAGGAGCAACAGGGGAAAUCCGAGAAGGAAGCAUAGGGGCCCGCACAAGCCACACAGUCAAGGCUUGAACCACAGCUAAAUCUCGGUGUUGGUGAGAGCCUGGGAAGAGCCUCCGCCAAGGCCUGGGCGCCCCGGGUGCCCCAGGAGGCCGAGCCAGAGGGGCUGGGUGAGGCAGGGCGGCCCCAGCCGCAUGGUGUCCCGAAGCUGCAUGGUGUCCCUGUCUGGUGUCCCCUGCCCAGGGCCCGCCAGGAGCUGGCACCUCAUGCUGUUUUUCUGUUUGUGGGCUGUGUAAGUUAAAAAGGACUGGCUCUUUCUUUACCGGCAAACCUGCCAACCUUGACUGCCCUGGCUUGACAAGAUGGAAGGAAAGGGGGAGGGAAGGCGGGAAGAAGGGCCCCAGGCCCCGCCCCUCGCCACCCCUCCCCUGGGCCAGCCCUGGGUCCUGCUUAUCCUCCCGGGCUCCAUCCAGCCCCUUGGCAUUUGACCACUCCACUCUGGGGACACUGUGCCCCAGCACUGACCCCUGGAGACACUCGGGCAAGGGGAGCCAGGCUCAGUCCCGGACCGGAGCAGCCCUCAGGUGGGCCAGCACUGGGAGCAAAAAGGAGAGGACUCAGCCCCUUUUUCCUCGACACGUUAUGGAAAUUUGCAAGCACAAAGUGGAAGGGAUUUUUCACUACACACCUGCACGCCCACUGCCGAUGAUCCCACUCACGUUUUACUAGACUGUUAUAUCUAGGCAACCAUCUUUUAAUUCAUUUUAUUUUUGAUGCAUUCAAAAUCAAUUUUAGCCUCAAAUGUGCUUGCCCCUACAUACUUAAGCAUGUACAUUAACUAGAGUUCAUUAGUGAUAGUCUUUUAAUAUAAAACAAUGAAAUGCCCGGCUUGUAAGUGAACAUUCACUCUUUUGACAAGUGUAUGCAUUCUUGUAACUCAGACCCUUAUCGAGAUACUGAGUGUUCCCAUUACCCCAGACUGGUUGACCCCCAGUCCACUCAGAGGCAACCACUCUGUGACCUCCUUGUGAUACUGGCACAAAGGUACUAAGUGAAGUCGCUCAGCCCUGCUCGCCUCUUUGUGAUCCCGUGGACUGUAGCCCACCAGUCUCCUCGUCCAUGGAAUUUUCCAGGCGAGAGUACUGGAGUGGGUUGCCAUUUUCUUCUCCAGGGGAUCUUCCCAACCCAGGGAUUGAACUCAGGUCUUCCCCAUUGCACGCAGAUGGUUUACCAUCUGAGCUACCACAGAUUUAAUACUGGAGCCUAAAGCAAAAGGGAAUUAUUUUUAAUGGCUAAUAUUUUUUUUCCCAGAACACCGAAGUAGUUAACAACCUGUUGAAAAAUGAAAAGUAGAUAUAUCAAAAUAGUUUAUUUAUACAAAAACCAACCAAUAAUCUUGCUUUCCUGGUUUUAGUGGAAAUGAACUCAUCAAUAUUUCCGAAGUCUACUACUUACCUUGUUUUGAAAGGAGAGAAUUGCCAUGCUAAUUUCUUUUGAUGAAGUGAUCUUAAUUUUUCAUUUACUGCAGCUUACUGAAGUGUCUUAUAGGAUGACAUGGUGACUGGGAAUGCUAACAACCUUCUCAAGGCCAUGUUCAAAUUGGAAAGUAUUGCACUAAACAAAUUUGUGAAUCAGCCUUAGAAGAUGCAAACACUAUUUAAUAACUGAUGCUGCAUGCUGCUUAAAACUAUAUCAGAUGGAUAUAUAGGAUUUAGGAUAUUUGAGUCAAGUAAGUGACUGCUUUGUGUAAGAGUUAUCCGUAGAAAACUUUUCUCCAUUUAAAAAUUCAAAAUGUAAGACACUUUUUCAUAUAAUCAUUUACAAUGUGAAAAUUAAGGCAUCUAUAGUUUCUUUAAUUUCUAUUUGAUAUGCAGUUUUAUAAUAAUUGACACUCAUCUAGUGAUUCAUUUCCAAUUUUUAUACUUUAAUUUUAAAAUUCAAGUGCAGCAUUGGUAAGAUAGUGGUGAGCAUAGCUGCCUUUCAUAAAGUUCAAACAGUAGCCCAUAUCUUUUGCUAAGAUUUCACAUUAAUCAAACAUUGAAAGUUUCUGUUAUUUCUAAGCAAAGGUAAAGGCCUUCUGCUAAGAGUACAACAAUGUAUAGUCUUUUUUUUUAAUUGUAUAAACAUUAACUUUUACACUGGUUUAUAAUAACAUCCUACACAGAUUGUAUAAAAUAAUGCAUUUGUGCCAAGAUGCUUUUGAUGUAUGCUUUUCAUUUAAUAUAUAUUUCAGUAUAAGUGCCUUUGUAUAUGAAAUACCUUGUUUACAUUUAAUCUUGAUCCUCACGGGAUAUCUGGAUGUGUUUUUAAUGUAGAUUUUAGAACAGACAUAAGAAUAUCCCAUCUGUGCAUCCAUUUUUAAAACUUCACACACAAAAUAUAUAUGUAUAUUAUAUGUAUCCAUAUACAUAUAUAUAAAUGCUAAAAAAUGGUUAACAUUUGAUUUCCCAGGGCAGCAUUUAUGCAUAUUUUUAUGAGCUGAGGAAGCACAAAUUUGGCAUAAUCAUAUUUGGGGGCAAAAUGUCUUAUAAACUCUUGUAUAACAGGCUAUAUUUUCUCCAUUAGACUAUACCUGGCCACAGGCAUUUUAAAUUUUAUUUCCAACCUCUAAUUUCAUAAGCUAGACUUAGAAAGUUUCAUCUUUCAUUUCAAUGAAGUCAGUACAACUUACUUUAUUGUUAUGACAUUGUUCUUCAUGUGAGCAGAUCUCGUGGUCAGACAUGCUUGUUCACGAUGGGCUACAUCUUGUGUACAAGCAAAAAAUAAAAAGUACUUGCUCCAUUAUUGACAGUAUUUCAGAACUCAUGUGAUUUGCUUGUAACAUGGUAUACUUGUUUUGAAUUUUAUUAGACCAGGCACAUGGAUUUCCAACAAUUUCCUGUGAUUCUCUUAAGAUUUAAAUUGUUUUCUUCAAAGUGUAACAUCUAAAACCACUCAAUAUAUUGUGAUUUUUGUUUCUUUGAUUUUGUCAUCUUCUGCAAAACAUCAUCUAUUAAACUGUCAGUUUGAAUAUUUUUCAGAAACACUUCCCAUUUUAGACAGCAUCACAAUGAGACAUCAAAUUUUCAAGGUCACAGCUUCUGUCUAAAUUUUUCUAAUAUUUGAAACCUUUUUCAUGGUUACAAAAAUUUGAUUCUGUUGUAUUAUUGUGGGGAAACAUGCACAAAAAAUAAAGACACUUGUGAAUAAA